This is a regulatory RNA element of Camelus ferus (Wild Bactrian camel), 45 nucleotides long. It matches the Rfam family "Histone 3' UTR stem-loop". Rfam says of the family: The mRNAs of metazoan histone genes lack a poly-A tail. Lineage: Eukaryota; Metazoa; Chordata; Mammalia; Artiodactyla; Camelidae. The record is from Rfam.
CCAAAGGCUCUUUUAAGAGCCACUAAAGUAUCAAGUAAAGGGCUG